Molecule: ribosomal RNA, 450 nt
Filed under: uncultured Ruegeria sp.
Lineage: Bacteria; Pseudomonadati; Pseudomonadota; Alphaproteobacteria; Rhodobacterales; Roseobacteraceae
Description: bacterial SSU rRNA
Rfam family: Bacterial small subunit ribosomal RNA
Source: RNAcentral
GUUUGAUCCUGGCUCAGAACGAACGCUGGCGGCAGGCCUAACACAUGCAAGUCGAGCGCGCCCUUCGGGGUGAGCGGCGGACGGGUUAGUAACGCGUGGGAACGUGCCCAGAUCUAAGGAAUAGCCACUGGAAACGGUGAGUAAUACCUUAUACGCCCUUCGGGGGAAAGAUUUAUCGGAUUUGGAUCGGCCCGCGUUAGAUUAGGUAGUUGGUGGGGUAAUGGCCUACCAAGCCUACGAUCUAUAGCUGGUUUUAGAGGAUGAUCAGCAACACUGGGACUGAGACACGGCCCAGACUCCUACGGGAGGCAGCAGUGGGGAAUCUUGGACAAUGGAGGCAACCCUGAUCCAGCCAUGCCGCGUGAGUGAUGAAGGCCUUAGGGUCGUAAAGCUCUUUCGCCUGUGAUGAUAAUGACAGUAGCAGGUAAAGAAACCCCGGCUAACUCCGUG